Molecule: long non-coding RNA, 1525 nt
Organism: Phyllostomus discolor (pale spear-nosed bat)
Lineage: Eukaryota; Metazoa; Chordata; Mammalia; Chiroptera; Phyllostomidae
Exons: 2
Source: RefSeq, a predicted model, not a curated record
AUUCCCCCGCCAGUGGGUGGGCCCUUCUGCUCUUUCCUGAGCCCUGCAAUAUAAGAGGACUUGAAUCCCGGUGUCCUACUUACUCCUCAGCAUUAGCACGCGUGACGCUUUUGAGAAGUCUCAAGGGUCAAAGGAAGGACCAAGAUGGAUAAGUAGCUUAAAAGAGGAUUAUCAGAUCACCGGGAGUGUUUGGUUUGGCUGCUUGUCUCUGAAGGAUGCAGAGUCCUGAGCACACAUUGCGGGCUGAGGGGAGACGCGAGGGAAGGAGAGGAGACAUGCGGAAGCACGCCCUCGAUGCCCAGUGGACCGUACUUGUGUUCACGCACAUCAGAGUCACGGAGAUACAGUGGUUUAUGAACCCUUAUUUCUGACAAGUACAGUGGAGGGGACGGGGGAGGCCGCUCCCCUGGGCAGACGGGAGAAAACGCCCCAGAAGCAGUGCGGCUCCUCCAGGCUGGCCAGGACCGCAGCACCUCGCUGAACCCUGCACGUUCUUCGGCCUCCAGGAGAGAACCCUGGAGUCUUUCUUCAGUUCCCUGCGUCCCAUGCCAGCACAGUUUGAAGUCAGAUUCUGGAAAUAGAGUCACUUGCACAAGAUUCAGGAGGCCAAAGACAAGAGAAGCCCUUCUUCUCUGAAUUGGCAGGGGUGGCGCGAGCUUCACCACAUCCUCCAGGCAAGCACUUUCAAGCUGCUCACUUCGGUGCCGCUAGAGGCUGAGAUGACCUGAGCCUCUUUUUUGUCUUUAUUUUUACAGUGAAACAUUUUAAUAUUUAGAAUUAGCCAGUUUAGAUGAUUCCAAUUUUGUUGGCAACAUCCAAAGCACCCUAGUUGGGAGCCAGUUGAACACAGGCCUCCUUCUCUCUGUCAGGCCCGAUCGGGAGGUUGACCUUGGCCAUGUCAAUGUCACAGAGCUUCUUCACAGCUUGUUUGAUCUGGCGCUCCUUGGCCUUGACAUCCACAAGGAACACUAGUGUGUUGUUGUCUUCUAUCUUCCUCAUGGCUGACUCAGCACUUGGGGGAACUCGAUGAUGGCGUAGUGGUCAAGCUUGUUUCCCCUGGGGCUCUCCCUAGGAUAUCGGGGCUGCCUUCGGAGCCAAGUGUCUUCACCGCACUGGAAGGUGGGAGACAGCCGAUCUUCUUUUUUCCUGGCUAUGGACCCCUUCCAGCACUGCUUUCUUUGCCUUCAAAGCCUUGGCUUUGGCUUUGGCUUUGGGAAGGGUUGGGACUUCUUUCUUCACUUUUGGCACCAUCUUCAUGAGAAGGCUGAUGUCAGCAUCUUCUCCAAGAUUCUGGCACUUCCUGACUCUGUGGGGUUUGAUGGUGGCUUCCCCGACCUGCUUUCAUCCAGCCCUCCCAUCAGUUAUACAAGCCUCUAAAUCCUCUGCAUUAAAAUCCUACAUAUUUAGGAUUCCCAGAGUGUCUCCUGUUUUUCUGACCAGACCCUAAUGGACACAGAUAAAGAAGCAAUGUAAAAUGAUGUGGGGGAAAAAACCCUUCUGAAAUGUAAAAGUUUUGUCCUGGAAA